GGAGGCCUCGGACCUGCUACACCUUCCCACGGAAGCCGCAACGCUAGAGCUACCAUGAGUGGAACCUCGCAGCACCGCUGAUCGCCUUUGCAACAUUUUGCCGAGCACCGGCCAAUGACGAAGCCGCGCGACCAAGCAUGACCACCACUUCGCUGCAUCCGAAGAACAACAGCUGCUACCACAGCCCAUCGGCUCCAAGGUCGAGCCCCGAACCCUAGUUGGCGUCAUUCCCGAUGCCAACAAAAACCCUAUUCUGCUUUCAUACACUUGCUAUAUGAUUCAUCUUUAUCCAUCUAUCUAUACUUGUCGAUACAUGAAUUAUUUAUUCUAUGCCUGUGCCGUGCCUUCGUGCCGGUCUGUUUAUCUAUCCGUUUAUCUAUCUCUGUUGGUCGCUAUGGAAAUGUGCUACUCUACUUUGUCUUUGUGUUGGUCGCGGCAUUGUGGUUCUUUGUGCGUUGGUUCUUGUGUCAUGUGGUUGGUUGGUUGUGAACCGUGCCUUCGAGCCGGUUGAGAGAGUGAUGUGUUUGAAUGUUGCGAUCGCGAGUUGUCUCGCCAUGGUCGUAGUGCCAAGCAUAUCCCUUCGCGGGUUGUCGUCGUUCUUUCUUUUGUUAUUUGCCUGAGGACUGAGCCUUCGAGCCGGUCGGGGAAGUGGUAGUGCGUUUGAUCAUUUCGAUCGUGGGUCCGUCCCGCCGUGAUCGCGAUGCCGAGCGUAACUCGUCUCCCCGUGUUUAGUUGACUUCGUUGCGCUACGGUCGUUAGCUCCUAUUCCCGUCCCUCGGACGUGGUCAUCGUGGACUCGAUGUCAUUAACGACGCGGUUCUUACCCGCACACCCGAGACCUAAAUGACCUAGUCGAGUGGGAUACGAAUUAGGGGACAACCUUCGUGGAACAGUCGGAGGCCAACUCGUUAGGUGAAGCUCAUGGUCGCGAGACGCCUCGCCAUGGCCAUUGAGCCUAUCCCAUUUUUCUCGCGUGUUUAUUUAUUCUGUCUCGUAUGCUUAUGCCACCUAGACCCGGGCAUUUCCCUAGUUCCCGCGAUGACAACCGCAUCGCCUGAAACUACGGAAAUGACCUUGUGCCGAUUCAGAAGCACCUAGGUUGAGAAGUGUUAUGAGUUGGAGUAGAUCGUGGGGUCGUAUCUCUUUUAACCAAUCGUCGUUCGCUCCAUGGCGAGUUGGUCGAAAGAGUGUGAUUCAUUCUUCUUCUCUCUUGUUCUCAAUCCCAUCGAUCCAGUAAGAUGUGGAUUAAGCCUCUUUUGCUUGUUUGAUGUUUCGUUUCCAAUCCCGUGAUUCUCGCUGUUGCUAUGGCGAGUGGGUCACACGAAGAUGAAUCUCGUAUCCCUUCCCUGCCUUUUUGGUUCUUUGUGCUUAAACUCUUGUAUGUUUGUACUUAAUCAACCGUAGCAUUUCUUUGGUUCUCGCGGUGACAACCGCACCGCUAAGAACCUUAGUGAUGUCUUAGUGCAUUUAGUGCACCUAGGUUGUGGCGCCCUACAAGUAGUUUGAGCACUCGUGUCCUUGGUGUGUCACUCCCUCUUAUGCCCUGUCUUUUGCCGUGGCAUGAGUAUUGGAAGGAGUAGACCACUUCCCUUCUUCUUCUCUCUUUAUUCCACCCUCUCUUGGCUCUCUCCAACUACAAUGGCGUAUGGGUUGAGAGAGACCGGAACUUCUCGUGCUCAUAGUCUUUACGAUUCCUGUCGAUCUCUAUGACACUUGGAUCGAAAGACCGUAAGCUGUGGUGUUUGCUUAGAAUGAGUUAGAGUCUAAGCCAUUUAUUAAAGCCGUACAGGUCGACACGAUCGACCCGGGAAGUACCGGCUAGGCUAAGACUCAAGCUUGUACUUGGUGAACAACCAUUUCCGUUUCUUUUAGCCCAGGGAUCGGACACCCACCGAGAGGGCUAAGCCGUUUUCCUUUUGGUGCUCUUUCAGUGUAGUUGUCCUUCAGUGUUUUGUCGCCUCUUUUCACAGUCUUUCUAGGACUAGUGGAUUGAUUGUUUCGCCUUGUUUGUCGUUUACGAGGUAGUUGCUUCGGGUAGCGUUGAUCGAAUCGGAACCAGUUGAAGGAAGGACAUGCAGAUAGGAGAAAGACCUUGGAUGAGUACAACUACAAGUGAACUGAGGAUCUUGGAAAUGUCACUCGACAGGUGCCACGUCCCACCCAACCUCGUAGAAUCCUAUUAGACAUACAAUAUGUAGAUGCUAGUGCUUUACUUUUAUGCAAAUGAAUUGAGAUAGGUUGCAUGGUAGAAAUGCUUGUGAGCCAUUGCCUUGUUGCAACCUAUAACCCUCGCACACCCGCUGUUAGGUUAGACGCUUGCAAACUACUUGCUACUGCUUCUACUACGCAUUAUAUCUGUGAUGUGAUGCAUUGUGGAGGAUUGGAUGUGAGUGGAUCAGGCACGUGGUGCCGAUAACUGGUUAAGAAAUGGAUAAUGGAUUUGGGGAGAUCUUGGCGUGUGUCUUGGGUGUGUGGUGAGGGUCGAGUCGACCGAGCAGGAUCUACGACGAGUCUUGGGACAAGUCUUGCCGGAGGACGCUACCUGGGCGUUCUCCACGAGAGAUACCUGUGGCGGGUACAUGUGACAGGGAGAGGUCCCGGAGUGGAGUGUCUUCGUGGGACGAAGCACCGGGAUGGGAGGUGCUGUUUAGCACGGGGUAAUCGGAUGUCCCGUCGAGCGGGGCAUCGGUUGGCCCCUCGUGAAGAUGUCCUGUUCGGUCACCCUAAGGACUGAGAUGUCCUGAGAACCGGUUCGUAGGAAGCCUUGCAUUCCCACUCGCCUUAGCCAUGGAACGGGACGGAUGUACGACCAGCUAGGGCGGUGCCACUACUACUAGGUUGUUAGCGGAAAGUGUAGGGAGGUACGGGCCUGGGACCCACACCCUCCUAAGACAGCGUAGUGACCUUGGGGGCCCGGUACUACGUCUCACAGUCUCAGCAUGCCGGUGGUACUCCGGCAUGGCCCCAGUCCUGAGUGGUAGGGUGGCAUCGUGUUUAGUUGGAAGGCAGCCCGGUAUCAGCCUAGACGAUGUACAGCUUCGAUGAUGGUGAUCUUGUGGGUAGUGCAAACCUCUGCAGAGUUUUUGGUUGAUCGAUCGAUACAUAUGCCGUUUACGGCUAUGGACCUUUCCUAUGUUUCCGCUUCACUUGACUAGUGAGAGGAGUCCUUUCUACCUUCCCCUGGGUUUGUGUUGGAUCCGGCGUUGGCCGAUGAGGCAAGGCACGAGCGGGAGUCGUACUUGCCGCCUAGAGAGUGAGAGUGUGGUGAGAUGUGUGUGAUGGGAUGGAUGGAUGGAUGUGUGGAAGAGAUGGAAUAAAACUUGAUGAAUUAUUACUAUAUAAUAUUGAUGAACUUACAUAGGAAAAACUACAGCCAUAUAUAUAGGCCUCUUGAAUCACCCUUGCAUUCCACUUACCACAAAGCUUACGCAAAAGCAUAGGGUGGGAGCCAGUGGCCAGUACAAAUCGUACUAAAAAUUGUUUAGCAGGUUUUGAACGUGGUCCAUGACGAUGACUACGGAGAAUAGAAGGAUUAGGUGGUCUUGUUCCUGCGCUCAAGUUUGGUUCGGAGAUGAAGGCUACGCCCGCUGAUAAACUAUGCCGACUCUGAUGAUUGCCUGUGAAGGAGGAGCCUUCACCGCUGACGCGCUACAUCAACUUUGAUAUAGACCCGUGUGUGUUUCCGCUAGAAAAACGAUGUAAUAGGCUGGUUGACCAAGAGUUGUAAAGUAAAUGUGAUGUAAUCUUGUUUUUCACGAUGUAUGACUAUGAUAACAGCUGAUAUAUGAUAAUGUGAUGGAUCAAUUUUUGAAUUAUCACAUUAUAAUUCGAAUCUGAGGAUUUUUCCCUUUGUGGAAAAAAUCUAGGUCGUUUCAGUUGGUAUCAGAGCCAUACUUGACCCUAGGACGAGACCUUUAGGACCAAACGCUAGUUUAGAAGCCAAACAUUCUAUCUUUUGUAGAGUUAUAGAUGCUAACACUUGUUUUCCCCCUCCGCCUUGAAUUCUGCUGCUAACUGACCUCCCUGUUUCAUAAAGUUGACCGUUGGAAUCCUUUCCCAUACCCGCCCACGCUAGAUCGGUAAUCGUGUGAGACUUUGAAGGUCUGUGAGCCGCCUCAAGUCAACACUAUGCAUUAGGAGUUGUAAUGCUGUUUGAGUGCUUGGAUCUUAUGUUGUUGCAUUUCUUCUGCUUCUUGUUGUCUGAGUGUAAGUCAUAGAACCUGUUUUAUGCGAGAAAGACUCUGGAUCCCAUCCAACCUAGCCGACUAAACCUAAGACCGUCCUGAGACUAGAUAGGUGACCCUGGCUAACAGAGCUGAAAAUGGGUGUAAAGCUGGUGCAUCAUGUCUUGCCCAUCUAUUUCAAAACUGUUUUUGGCUUCCAACUAAACUUGUCUUCAAAAUUGCCACUUGGUUUGAAAAAUUUUCUCUCCUUUUUGGUUAAAGUAUUUCCCUUUUUAACAAAAGCAUCUCUAUUUCAAAUGGAAAAGUGUUUCAAAACUCUCCCAAUACCUUCCCUUUUCACAAAUAAAGCAAUUUUAACUCCUUUCUCAACUUAAUUUUAUUCAAAAGCUAUUUUAUGAAACAAUUUUAAAACAAAUCAUCUUGCAAAAGGUGUGACAAAACCUCUUCCAAAUAUAUAUAUAUAUAUAUAAUAAAAUAAAGGUUUUGCCUUUUUCAUCAACAAAGUGGUUUUCAAACCAAAGAACUUUGGCUCAGUUUUGUUUUAAAGGCCUUUGACUUUAUCUCAGGAGCCAAAUUCCUUUAAAAAUCCAUCUUGUCUUAAAAGAAAAAAAAAAUUGCCAGUGAUUUAUUAAACAAAAACCAUUGCGAAAAGAUUUUAUUUGCAUCCUUUCAAGGAAAAGUUUUAGCAAAACCAAAAUGAACUUACAGGUUUUAAAAGAAAAUGCUUUUGUUGUUAAAGCUUUAACCUUCAAAAUGAGAAAUGAUUUCUAAUCAUUUUCAAAACUAGUUUGUUUAAUUCAAAAAAAAGGAGCAAUACCUUGUUUUAAGGAAAAUAGUAAUAAUAAAAUAAAAGAAUUUUAAAAUCUCUCGAUUUGAAAUCUUUUAUAACAAAACCUUCAGAAGAUUUGGUUUUCAAAACUUGCAUUGAUUUCAACCCUCUUCAAAAGCUCUCUUCAUUUUGAAGUCUCAAAAAAAAAACUCGACUUUGUAAAAGCGCUUUCACUCUGUUUUUGAAACCUGUUUCCCAAAAAAAUCCCUUCCUUCAAAAGCUUGUUGCAAAGAGUAAUGCACGAAAAACAGCUUUUGAAAGCUGACAACCCUAGCUACGUUUAAGCCUGCCAAGCACUCUUUGAGAGCCAGAUGUUCAUCAACCCCGUGCGAUUCUUGGACACCCAAUGCCCUGGUGUGAAAAUUUGGAUACCCAACAACUGCAAGUGACGUGGAUACACCCGGAACAUGACUCACUCCCAAUUUUGGAAAAAGGUCUGUGGAGUGAUCAUACUGAAAGUGAAACAACUCAGAAGUAAGAAGAACUUCGGGAAUAGCACCCUUGCUUCUUCACCAACCGAGCAACGCCUAAAUCUCGGGGACGAGAUUCCUCUAAGGAGGGUGGACUGUAACAUCCCGGAUUUUUACGAAAAACCAAAAAUACGAACUUUUUAAAAUUUUUCCUGUAAUCGUGUGAAGCAUAUAGUUUCUAGGUCUAACUCGAUCCUAACCCGCUAACAAAACGUCGCAUUCAUAUAGAAUCGUUUGUAGACGAGUGCUCUUAAUCGCGAGUCGUCUUAAGUUGGGUCUUGUUUAGGGUUUUGAGUUUCUUUUGGAGUGCACAAAUCCGUAGCAAAGUCUUUCUGAAUCUCUGUUGAGCCUAUCUCAAAGGCGAAGCGAAUCCCUUCUCAAUCUUUCCGUUGGAGUACGUCUCAAACUCCAUUGGAUUUUAUCCGAUCUCCUUUUGAAUCUUCUCCAACUCCUUUUGUUUUCAUUCCAUUGUGUUUAAUCAAAAAUAGAAAACCAUUUUCUCCUCCUCUCUUAUUUUUCUCUCCUUUCUCCCCCUCGUGCAUGCCCAUCCAGGCCUCCUAGCGCCCCCCUCCCUGGCCCAUAGCGUGGACAGCAGCGCCGGCCCACCCCCUCCCCUCUCCGCGGCCCAGCUACCUCUCCCUUGGCCCAAGCCACCCAGCGGCCCAGCUCCAAGCCACGCGGCCCAGGCAGAGGCCCAACCGGCGCCAUCCCCCUUCCAACCGCGCGGCCCAGCCAGCUCCCCAUCUCCACUCCACGGCCCGCGCAGCAGCCAAGGCCCACCUAGCCCAAGACCAGCACCCCUGGAACCCUAGGUGUGCCCCCUGGCUCCCAGACGCCGUCGCCGCGCCCCUGCAGCGCCGCACUCGUGCCCUGGACGCCCGUGCUGCUGCCAGAUGAGCGCCACGCGGCCCGCCCAACGGCACGGACGCCGAGGAUCACCGCCCGCAGCGCCUAGCACCCCUGGAACCCUAGGCCACGACGCGUAUAAGAGCCCGAGCCGCCGCCCUCCUCUUCUAUCCCACGACGCCGCCGCUCUGCUCCACCACCCAGUGACGCCAAGCACCACCUCGCCCCGGAGCCAGAGCCGCCGCGCCGCGCCGCGCCGAGCUUCGGCCUCGCCCUCGCCCCGGCCGCCGCGACGACGCCAUCAGACCGCGUGCUCGCCACGGUCGCCACGUCCAGGAGCGACGCCGCGGCGAGUGCUCCCUUUUCGUCGAGCUCCACCACGACAGCGCCACGACCGCCGUGCGUCCUCGACCCGAGCCGCGACGCCGGACUUCGACAGCACCUCGUCAAGCUUCGCCCUCGCGCAUCCGUCGCCGCCGAGCCGAGCGUCGACGCCGAGCGUUCCGCACCGAGCAGGAGCCCAGCACGCCCACGACGGCCGACCACUGCGGGUGUGUCGCGGCAUAACCGCGGGCACGCCGAGCCCCGUCCCCGAGCCACCACGACGACGCCGUGCUCGAGCCCCAUCGCCCCCGUGUCGUCCUCGCCAAGUCGAGCAGCCGCGCCACCGCCGAGCUCGCCGCGGUCACCACGUCAGCGCCGGCCAUGGUGAUCGCGAACCCGACCACGACGUCGUGCUCAGCGUGCCAUGGUGACCGCGAACUUCUCCUUUUGCUGGCCACCGUUCAUCUCUGCACGUGCAGCACAGCCUCAGCAGCAGCAGCACCCCAUCUUCGGCAACAUCCACUGCCGCUGGUGAGACAGUAGGCAAGCUUUGUUCUUCUCCUCAUUGUGGUUGACCUUGUCGCUGUCCUUGCUGAGACCGGCCUUCGUGCCAUGUUUUACUGCUGUCACAGGGAGGCCUCGGACCUGCUACACCUUCCCACGGAAGCCGCAACGCUAGAGCUACCAUGAGUGGAACCUCGCAGCACCGCUGAUCGCCUUUGCAACAUUUUGCCGAGCACCGGCCAAUGACGAAGCCGCGCGACCAAGCAUGACCACCACUUCGCUGCAUCCGAAGAACAACAGCUGCUACCACAGCCCAUCGGCUCCAAGGUCGAGCCCCGAACCCUAGUUGGCGUCAUUCCCGAUGCCAACAAAAACCCUAUUCUGCUUUCAUACACUUGCUAUAUGAUUCAUCUUUAUCCAUCUAUCUAUACUUGUCGAUACAUGAAUUAUUUAUUCUAUGCCUGUGCCGUGCCUUCGUGCCGGUCUGUUUAUCUAUCCGUUUAUCUAUCUCUGUUGGUCGCUAUGGAAAUGUGCUACUCUACUUUGUCUUUGUGUUGGUCGCGGCAUUGUGGUUCUUUGUGCGUUGGUUCUUGUGUCAUGUGGUUGGUUGGUUGUGAACCGUGCCUUCGAGCCGGUUGAGAGAGUGAUGUGUUUGAAUGUUGCGAUCGCGAGUUGUCUCGCCAUGGUCGUAGUGCCAAGCAUAUCCCUUCUCGGGUUGUCGUCGUUCUUUCUUUUGUUAUUUGCCUGAGGACUGAGCCUUCGAGCCGGUCGGGGAAGUGGUAGUGCGUUUGAUCAUUUCGAUCGUGG
RNAcentral lists this long non-coding RNA (7964 nucleotides) under Sorghum bicolor (sorghum). Its description in RNAcentral is "long non-coding RNA (SBIC_LNC003605)". Lineage: Eukaryota; Viridiplantae; Streptophyta; Magnoliopsida; Poales; Poaceae. The record is from RNAcentral.